AAUAUAUUAUCAAAAUCUAAUCAAUGAAAUGCCUAAAAGACCUAACAACUGGCGAUUGAAUAUGAAAACAUUUGCAGAACGACUUUCUUUUAUUUUUAA
Centruroides sculpturatus (bark scorpion) is the source of this 99-nucleotide long non-coding RNA. RefSeq lists it as uncharacterized. NCBI's taxonomy places the organism in Eukaryota, Metazoa, Arthropoda, Arachnida, Scorpiones, Buthidae. The transcript has 2 exons. The record is from RefSeq and is a predicted model, not a curated record.